RNAcentral lists this ribosomal RNA (245 nucleotides) under Leptographium davidsonii. RNAcentral's name for it is "Grosmannia davidsonii partial large subunit ribosomal RNA". It matches the Rfam family "Eukaryotic large subunit ribosomal RNA", at positions 101 to 347 of the family's 3401-position model. Lineage: Eukaryota; Fungi; Ascomycota; Sordariomycetes; Ophiostomatales; Ophiostomataceae. The record is from RNAcentral.
GCAACAGCUCAGAUUUGGAAUCUGGUCCUUUGGGGCCCGAGUUGUAAUCUGGAGAGGAUGCUUCUGGCGCGGCGCCGUCCGAGUUCCCUGGAACGGGACGCCGGAGAGGGUGAGAGCCCCGUACGGUCGGACGCCUAGCCUGUGUGAAGCUCCUUCGACGAGUCGAGUAGUUUGGGAAUGCUGCUCAAAAUGGGAGGUAAAUUUCUUCUAAAGCUAAAUACCGGCCAGAGACCGAUAGCGCACAA